This is a long non-coding RNA of Salvia miltiorrhiza (redroot sage), 1007 nucleotides long. RefSeq lists it as uncharacterized. The record is from RefSeq and is a predicted model, not a curated record. The transcript has 2 exons. Lineage: Eukaryota; Viridiplantae; Streptophyta; Magnoliopsida; Lamiales; Lamiaceae.
AACAGUAGUUUUAACUAAACUUAAAAAAAAAAAACAGUAGUUUUAACUCGCAUACACUUUUCUCUCCCCCUCUCUCGCAUGAUUUACUUUAACAGUAACAAUUUUCUCGCUCCCUCAAUCACACGAUUUUCUCACCAUCUCUUAUAGCAACUAUAAUUUCUCAGAAAUCAGAGAAACUUUUCCAAAUCUUCAACCUGCUCUCCAGUCAUCUACGCAAAGAUACAAUUUUUUUUAUGAUUGAAGCACAUCAUGAAGGGGCAAGGUUAAAAUGUCACGAAUGGUGGAAAGCGUAAUGACUAAUGAGAGAAGAAACAAGAUGAAAAGCACGAGAUCAAAUCUGAGAAUGGCAACAUAGACGACGCAUCUGGUGAUGAUCAAGAUACCAAAAUCCCCAAAAAUCAUUCUUCCUUCCACCGCUUCUAUGUGCCGCCGCCAUCGCAUUGCUGUCGCUGCCACUUUUGUCUUCCGCUCUCCAUCGACUUCCGCUUCCAUUCAAGAUAUGUAGAUUAUAUGGACGAGGACAAAGACAACCUAAGGAAUUGGGGUUGUUAUGAACCUCCCCUUAAAGGGCUUGGUCUCCAGCUCAUGUCUUUUCUGGCAGAGCGAGACAGGAAGCCUUUCCUAUCUGGGCGUGACAAUCCUGUAAUGGUUUCACCAAAUGGUGCCUUCCAUCACUGAACCGUUGGUCAGGCACAUGGACUACGACGGUAGGGAUAGCUGGAUAAACCAUAGGGAGAAGUUCUUGAAUAUGUUACCGGGUAACCUUAAAGCUCUGUUCUUGCUAAGUCGAUGCAGAUGAUGUAGCAGCCCCAAAGAGACAAGGUUAAUAACACGAAGUUACUAAAGUUUUGAAUCUUAAUACCACAAAUUAAUGCAUACUGCGUGUCGAAAAAUGCUUUACAUUUGCUCAUUCUCAUUGUAGUCAAUUCGACACUUCGAUAGUUUUUGUUCUAUAUUGGGACAAUUUUUUUCUUGACAAGAUAUGGAUCUUGAUCAUCUUUUGUGAA